CGUGGGUGGGUGUGUGGCUCUAUCAGAUUACACAAGAGAGCCCACACUGCAAGAAUUACAGGGGAUCUUUGGUGGUGGUUGAGUAACUGUCUGCAGAGGGUGGAUCCAGCUCCUCAUUCAAACGCCACAUAGAAGCCACACGUGAGGCUCUGCCUCUUGGCUUGGUUUGCUGACAAGCGUCUUGUCUGUAGGUCAGAGGGUGACUGCAGGCGACUGGGCAGCACCUAUUUAUCUGGCUGGGAGUGCAUCACAUGUGAGAAAGUAUGUGCUGAAGUGUGUCACGUACAAAUGAACAUGAUUUAUGUCUCAAUAUUUCUGGUUUGAAUCAUUUUACAGUAAUACAAGAUGAGGGCUCAGCUUUUGAUUUCUCGCUGCCAGCGGAGAGGACCAGGCGCACCUCCUGACUCCCAUGUCGUGGUUCUUCAGGGCUCCCAUGGCUUGGGACUCCGCGUCCUCCUGGGCAAAGGGGCCGUGUUCACGGCUAGCUGUGAACUGGAAGGCCAGACUGAGUUUCGAGGAGAGCAUAACCCUUUCUACCGCACAUCCUGGCUAACCCUGCCGCCUGGCUGCGACYGCAACAUACCUUUCGCUCCUGCUAAUGCAGCACUGCGGAGCUGCCUGCAGGAGAGGGGCCAAGGUCCUGCUCAGGAGCUCGUCCAGGCCUGA
RNAcentral lists this long non-coding RNA (666 nucleotides) under Apteryx rowi (Okarito brown kiwi). Its description in RNAcentral is "lncRNA (ENSARWG00000005612.1)". The record is from RNAcentral. Lineage: Eukaryota; Metazoa; Chordata; Aves; Apterygiformes; Apterygidae.